Molecule: transfer RNA, 75 nt
Filed under: Deltaproteobacteria bacterium
Lineage: Bacteria; Pseudomonadati; Myxococcota; Myxococcia
Also listed under: 1 other name
Description: tRNA-Arg
Rfam family: tRNA
About the family: Transfer RNA (tRNA) molecules are approximately 80 nucleotides in length. Their secondary structure includes four short double-helical elements and three loops (D, anti-codon, and T loops).
Source: RNAcentral
GCCCCCGUAGCUCAGUGGAUAGAGCAUAGGAUUCCUAAUCCUUGUGCGCAAGUUCGAUUCUUGCCGGGGGUACCA